This is an RNA transcript of Lolium perenne, 2060 nucleotides long. It is a transcript of the gene named transcription termination factor MTERF4, chloroplastic, with no coding region annotated. The record is from RefSeq and is a predicted model, not a curated record. NCBI's taxonomy places the organism in Eukaryota, Viridiplantae, Streptophyta, Magnoliopsida, Poales, Poaceae.
UUCCGGUUCGGCCCACCACGAUACCACAAACCCCACCGCCACUCUCUCCCAGCCUCUGCACCGCCCGCCGCCGCUCCCGGCGCGCCGCCGUAGCCAUGCUCCCCCUCGCCCGCGCGGCCUUCCGCAGACUCAGCCCAGCAUCUUCUACCGCGGCAGCGUCAGAUGUGCGCCUCCUCCUCCUCGCGCCGCUCUCCUCCAAGUCGUCGGCGGCCGCGCCGCCGGAGUACCAGAUGCCGUCGGUGACGUGGGGCGUAAUCCAGGGCCGCAAGGAGCGGCUCGUGUCCCGCGUGCUGGCGCUCGACUUCCUCCGCUCCGCCGGCGUCUCCGACCCGGCGGGCGAGCUGGAGGCCGUGGAGCUGCCCUCCUCCCUCGACGUGCUGCAGGAGCGCCUCGACUUCCUCCUCCGCCUCGGCCUCUCCACCGACGACCUCUCCGCCUACCCGUUCCUGCUCGCCUGCUCGCUCCGCAAGAACAUCAUCCCCGUCCUCUCCUACCUCGAGAAGCUGGGCGUCACGCGCGCGCGCCUCGCCGCCUUCGUCCGCGCCUACCCGGCCUGCCUCCACGCCUCCGUCGCCGUCGACCUCGCCCCCAUCGUCAAGGCGCUCCGCGGCCUCGACGUCGACCGCGAGGACAUCCCGCGCGUCCUCGAGCGCUACCCCGACGUCCUCGGCCUCAAGCCCGACGGCACCAUCAGCACCUCCGUCGCCUACCUCGUCGGCAUCGUCGGGGUCGCGCCGCGGGACAUCGGUCCCAUGGUAACUCACUACCCGUUCUUCCUCAGCAUGCGCGUUGGCACCACCAUCAAGCCCUUGUGCGACUACAUCACAUCCCUCGGGCUGCCCAUGCGGAUUCUCGCGAGGAUUAUUGAGAAGCGGCCGUACAUUCUCGGCUAUGAUCUCGAGGAGACCGUCAAACCGAAUGUCGAGGCGUUACUCAGCUUCGGCAUUCGGAAGGAGGUGCUGCCGCUUGUCAUUGCGCAUUACCCAUCUAUUCUUGGCUUGCCUCUGAAAGUGAAGCUUGCGGCGCAGCAGUACUUCUUCAACUUGAAGCUCAAAAUCGACCCUGAUGGGUUUGCCCGAGCUGUCGAGAAGCUGCCGCAGCUCGUGAGCUUGCAUCAGAACGUGAUACUGAAGCCCGUGGAGUUCCUCCGUGGACGGGGGAUUACCGAUGAGGAUGUUGGGCGGAUGCUGGUCCGGUGCCCGCAGAUUCUUCUGCUGCGGAACGAGCUCAUGAAGAACAGUUUUUACUUCUUCAAGAGUGAGCUCAAGCGCCCGAUAAGUGAACUGUUGGAAUUCCCAGAGUACUUUACAUAUAGCUUGGAGUCGAGGAUCAAGCCUAGGUACAUGAGAGUUGCAAGCAAGGGGAUUAGAUGUAGCUUGGAUUGGUUUCUCAACUGCAGCGAUCAGAGGUUUGAGGAAAGGAUGCGGGGGGAUUUUAUUGAAGGGGAUGCACCAGGACCUUCAUUUACAAUGGGCGGGAAGCUUCAGAUGCCUGGCAACCAGUUAGUGUCAGAUGAUGAUAACGAGGAUAGUGAUGACGAGGUGCUAUAUAGGCGGACAGUCAUGCUCUAAUUUGGUGGAAGAUAAUCCAAAAAGGUCUUCCAUGAUGUGGUUCAUCAGCACCAUAAAAGCCAAUGAAAAGGCUUUGGCAUUUGAUGGUGGGUUCUCCUGCCACCAACCACCAGCCAAGGUCACCACCUGGGUGCUGGUCUAAGCAUCGUCUUCUCCGAGAGUGCAAGAGGUACUCAGGUACAGCCUUUGGUUGUUCUGCGUGACCAUGAGGGAUGAAAACAGGACGUCUGUAUAUAAUUCUGAACAGGUGAUCAAAGAAUCGCUCUAGCUAAAGGGAAAUGAAGUACUAUUCGUGAUGAAAAUCUUGUCCCACUGAAAAAGUAGUUGAUCGUUGCACUAGUUGAUUUUUGUUACAUUAGGACAGUGUGUGAUCACACGGUAGGUUCAGAUGUUUGUAACAUGUGGUACAACAUUCUGUCUGUAACUCAAAUCCCCAGCAAUAACAGUAACAUUUGCCCAAUGCUUAAACAGACACCAGUGUACGUCUUA